AUGGGCUUAACAACAUUAGUUAUUUCAACCCGUGGGCAUGGAUCUUCCCACUUGUGUCUUCUUCAGUUUCUUUCAUCAGUGACUUAUAGUUUUCAGUGUCUUAAACGGCUUAAAAUUGUAGUAAGACUUUUGGAACACCGAUUUAUUGUGAAAAGGUGCUGCGGGAUCCGUGUUGGUGGAGAACCGCUCAUCCACACUUUGCAAGCCCUUCGGAAGAGCAGCCAACUGAAAAAAUGCCCAGUAAUGACAGUAGGAUGGGAGACGGGGUGGAGGCCAGGGGCUGAAGCCAGCGGGCCGCGGCCUGCUCCCGAGGGUAAGACAGCGGCUCCCCUGGGACGCGCUGGGAACCGGGAGGGAGCGCGCCCGGGAGGACCCGCCCCAAACGGCCCGGCCUCCACCUUGACCCUCCCAGUUCCGCGGUGCGGGCGGCGCCGGUCGGGACCGGGGUGCGGAAGGGGCGGCGGCGGCGACAGGUGGCCUCCCGGCCUCUGCACCCCCGGCCCCGCCCCCGGCUCUGCCCCCGCGGCCCCGGCUCUGCACCCCCGGCCCCGGCUCUGCCCCCGACUCUGCCCCGCGGCCCCGCCUCUGCACCCCCGGCCCCGGCUCUGCACCCCCGGCCCCGGCUCUGCACCCCCGGCCUCGGCUCUGCACCCCCGGCCCGGCUCUGCCCCCGUCUCUGCCCCGCGGCCCCGGCUCUGCCCCCCCGACCCCGGCCCCGCCCCCCGGCCCCAGCUCUGCCCCCGCCUCUGCCCCCCCGGCCCCGGGUCUGCCCCCGCCUCUGCUCCCCCGGCCCCGCCUCUGCACCCCCGGCUCCGGCUCUGCACCCCCGGCCCCGGCUCUGCCCCCGCCUCUGCCCCCGCGGCCCCGGCUCUGCCUCCGGCUCUGCCCCCGCGGCCCCGGCUCUGCCCCCGGCUCUGCCCCCGCCUCUGCCCCGCGGCCCCGGCUCUGCCCCCCCCCCCCCCCCCCGGCCCCGGCUCUGUCCCCCGACCCCGGCUCUGCCCCGCGGCCCCGACCCCGGCUCUGCCCCGGCUCUGCCCCCGGCUCUGCCCCCGGCCCCGGCUCUGCCCCUGCCUCUGCCCCGCGGCCCCGGCUCUGCCCCACCGGCCCCGGCUCUGCCCCGCGGCCCCGGCUCUGCCCCCGCCUCUGCCCCGGCUCUGCCCCCGCGGCCCCGGCUCUGCCCCGGCUCUGCCCCCGGCCCCGGCUCUGCCCCCGCCUCUGCCCCCCCCCCCCGGCCCCGGCUCUGCCCCCGCGGCCCCGCCUCUGCCCCCGGCCCCGGCUCUGCCCCCGGCUCUGCCCCCCGACCCCGGCUCUGCCCCCCGGCCCCGGCUCUGCCCCCGGCUCUGCCCCCCCGGCCCCGGCUCUCCCCGGUGCGCGCUCGGAGCCCGGGGCAGCCCGCAGGCGGCGCCGGUGUCGGGCUCGGGCUCGGGCUCGGGCUCGGGCUCGGGCUCGGGCGCCCGCCGGGCGGGGCCGCGGCAGGACCUCUCCCGACCUUUCUCGGGAGGAGCCCGCCGUCCCCGCCUCUAG
RNAcentral lists this long non-coding RNA (1524 nucleotides) under Canis lupus familiaris (dog). Its description in RNAcentral is "lncRNA (ENSCAFG00040023318.1)". The record is from RNAcentral. Lineage: Eukaryota; Metazoa; Chordata; Mammalia; Carnivora; Canidae.